GACGAACGCUGGCGGCGUGCUUAACACAUGCAAGUCGAACGGAAAGGCCUCUUUCGGGUGGUACUCGAGUGGUGAAAGGGUGAGUAUAACGCGAGUAAACUGCCCUUGACUUUGGGGUAACUUUAGGAAACUGGGGCUAUUACCGCAUAGGAGCUCCUGUUGCACGUUGGGGGUUGGAAAGUUUCGGCGGUUGGGGAUUGACUCGCGGCUUAUCAGCUUGUUGGUGGGGUAGUGGCUUACCAAGGCUUUGACGGGUAGCCGGCCUGAGAGGGUGACCGGCCACAUUGGGACUGAGAUACGGCCCAGACUCCUACGGGAGGCAGCAGUGGGGAAUAUUGCACAAUGGGUGGAAGCCUGAUGCAGCAACGCCGUGUGCGGGAUGACGGCCUUCGGGUUGUAAACCGCUUUCGCUCAUGACGAAGCUUUGUGUGACGGUAGUGGGUAAAGAAGCACCGGCUAACUACGUG
This 467-nucleotide ribosomal RNA is filed under the name uncultured bacterium. RNAcentral describes it as "partial 16S ribosomal RNA". It matches the Rfam family "Bacterial small subunit ribosomal RNA", at positions 28 to 507 of the family's 1533-position model. The record is from RNAcentral.